Molecule: long non-coding RNA, 499 nt
Filed under: Bos taurus (domestic cattle)
Lineage: Eukaryota; Metazoa; Chordata; Mammalia; Artiodactyla; Bovidae
Description: long non-coding RNA NONBTAT026862
Source: RNAcentral
AUUAUAUGAAGAAACAUGAACAAUAUUUAUUAGAGUGAAUGGCUGCUGAGAAGCAGCCUGCAAAAGCUCUCAUCCACAAUGUACAGGCUGAGAAGUACUGAUACAUACACUCAUAACCAUAGCAAUAAUGUUCUGAGGAGGCUUCCAAGGAAAUGCUGCAUUUAACAAUCAAUUUUAAAGUUUAUUUUUUUACAUCCUUUAUGAAACAUGACAGAUACAAAAAUGAUAAGCUCAUCUGCUAUCAAAAGCAAUUUCGCAGAUUUCAGUGGGUCUUUUUCCUCCAAGUACUAUAUGUUUGAGUGCUAAUUUUUUACGUAACUGAUGGUAAGAGAAAAGGCAACUGCUGAGUUCUCUCCAAGAGUAAAAGACCAUUUAUUUACACUUGUCCUUCCAUAAAGUCAAAGGCCGACAUAUUCCCUGAAGACACUCACGUAAAUGAUGUUGUUUCUUUUCUAACAGUAAAACAAAAACAAUAACCUGUUUUGGGAUUUGAGUAACU